UACGUAGGGUGCAAGCGUUGUCCGGAAUUAUUGGGCGUAAAGAGCUCGUAGGCGGUGUGUCGCGUCGGCCGUGAAAACCUGGGGCUCAACUCUGGGCGUGCGGUCGAUACGGGCAUCACUUGAGUUCGGCAGGGGAGACUGGAAUUCCUGGUGUAGCGGUGAAAUGCGCAGAUAUCAGGAGGAACACCGGUGGCGAAGGCGGGUCUCUGGGCCGAUACUGACGCUGAGGCGCGAAAGCGUGGGGAGCAAACAGG
RNAcentral lists this ribosomal RNA (254 nucleotides) under uncultured bacterium. RNAcentral describes it as "partial 16S ribosomal RNA". It matches the Rfam family "Bacterial small subunit ribosomal RNA", at positions 524 to 776 of the family's 1533-position model. The record is from RNAcentral.